RNAcentral lists this ribosomal RNA (491 nucleotides) under uncultured bacterium. Its description in RNAcentral is "partial 16S ribosomal RNA". It matches the Rfam family "Bacterial small subunit ribosomal RNA", at positions 29 to 506 of the family's 1533-position model. The record is from RNAcentral.
AGUGAACGCUGGCGGUAGGCCUAACACAUGCAAGUCGAACGGCAGCACAGUAAGAGCUUGCUCUUACGGGUGGCGAGUGGCGGACGGGUGAGGAAUACAUCGGAAUCUACUUUUUCGUGGGGGAUAACGUAGGGAAACUUACGCUAAUACCGCAUACGACCUACGGGUGAAAGCAGGGGAUCUUCGGACCUUGCGCGAUUGAAUGAGCCGAUGUCGGAUUAGCUAGUUGGCGGGGUAAAGGCCCACCAAGGCGACGAUCCGUAGCUGGUCUGAGAGGAUGAUCAGCAACACGGGAACUGAGACCCGGCCCGGACUCUGAGGGAAGGCGCAGGGGGGAAAUAUUGGAAAAGGGGCGCAAGCCUGACCCAGCCUUACCGGGGGGGUGAAGAAGGCCUUCGGGUUGUAAAGCCCUUUUGUUGGGAAAAAAAACCAGCGGGUUAAAACCCCCCUGUUCGAAGGGAACCCAAAAAAAAGGCACGGGCAAACUUCUG